GUGGGGUGACUGCGUACCUUUUGUAUAAUGGGUCAGCGACUUAUAUUCUGUAGCAAGGUUAACCGAAUAGGGGAGCCGGAGGGAAACCGAGUCUUAAUUGGGCGUUAAGUUGCAGGGUAUAGACCCGAAACCCGGUGAUCUAGCCAUGGGCAGGUUGAAGGUUGGGUAACACUAACUGGAGGACCGAACCGACUAAUGUUGAA
RNAcentral lists this ribosomal RNA (203 nucleotides) under Salmonella enterica subsp. enterica serovar Heidelberg str. CFSAN002058. Its description in RNAcentral is "partial 23S ribosomal RNA". It matches the Rfam family "Bacterial large subunit ribosomal RNA", at positions 588 to 793 of the family's 2925-position model. The record is from RNAcentral. Lineage: Bacteria; Pseudomonadati; Pseudomonadota; Gammaproteobacteria; Enterobacterales; Enterobacteriaceae.